RNAcentral lists this unclassified non-coding RNA (106 nucleotides) under soil metagenome. Its description in RNAcentral is "partial internal transcribed spacer 1". The record is from RNAcentral.
GUGAACGCCCUCACGGGCUUAUACUAUUCCAAACCUCUGCGAACCGUGCCCUUCGGGGCUAUUUUACAAACAUGGUGUAAUGAACGUCAUAUAUCAUAACAAAACA